This 87-nucleotide transfer RNA is filed under the name Trichodelitschia bisporula. It matches the Rfam family "tRNA". Rfam says of the family: Transfer RNA (tRNA) molecules are approximately 80 nucleotides in length. Their secondary structure includes four short double-helical elements and three loops (D, anti-codon, and T loops). Further hydrogen bonds mediate the characteristic L-shaped molecular structure. tRNAs have two regions of fundamental functional importance: the anti-codon, which is responsible for specific mRNA codon recognition, and the 3' end, to which the tRNAs corresponding amino acid is attached (by aminoacyl-tRNA synthetases). tRNAs cope with the degeneracy of the genetic code in two manners: having more than one tRNA (with a specific anti-codon) for a particular amino acid; and 'wobble' base-pairing, i.e. permitting non-standard base-pairing at the 3rd anti-codon position. The record is from Rfam by way of RNAcentral. Lineage: Eukaryota; Fungi; Ascomycota; Dothideomycetes; Phaeotrichales; Phaeotrichaceae.
GGCCGCGUGGCCUAAUGGUAAGGCGUCUGACUACGAUUCCUACGGGUUGUGAUCAGGAGAUUGCAGGUUCGAGACCUGCCGCGGUCA